RNAcentral lists this ribosomal RNA (366 nucleotides) under uncultured eukaryote. RNAcentral's name for it is "partial 18S ribosomal RNA". It matches the Rfam family "Eukaryotic small subunit ribosomal RNA", at positions 592 to 976 of the family's 1831-position model. The record is from RNAcentral.
CAAUAGCGUAUAUUAAAGUUGUUGCAGUUAAAAAGCUCGUAGUUGAAUUUCUGGCGGGCGCGCCGGUCUUCCAAGUGUUGUACUGGGCGCAGUCCGCCAUCCUUGUGGAGAGGGCUCGCAUUGAGUUGCGUGUCGGAUCUGCAUCAUUUACUGUGAAAAAAUUAGAGUGUUUAAAGCAGGCUGUCGCUUGAAUACAUUAGCAUGGAAUAAUGAGAUAGGACUUCGGUCUAUUUUGUUGGUUGCGACCCGAGGUAAUGAUUAAUAGGGAUAGUUGGGGGUAUUCAUAUUUAAUUGUCAGAGGUGAAAUUCUUGGAUUUAUGAAAGAUGAACAACUGCGAAAGCAUUUACCAAGGAUGUUUUCAUUAA